GAAAUAUUGUCUACUGGGAAGAGUAAAUAGGCUUAGAUUUAUCAGAGAGUACAUGUGUGCUGAAAAUGUACAGUUUAACUUAUUGAAAGUAGCCCACAUUGAACUUUAGCUGAAAUACUGCAAUAUAAUUGUUUGUAAAAUAGGUUGAAGCGUGUUUGAGCGUUAAUCAUAAUUUUAAGUGCUUGAAAUUAGUGAACUAAUUUCUUGAAUUUAGGUGGUACCACGGGAAAUCCGUCCUAUAU
RNAcentral lists this non-coding RNA (242 nucleotides) under Staphylococcus sp. RNAcentral's name for it is "T-box sequence". It matches the Rfam family "T-box leader". Rfam says of the family: Uncharged tRNA acts as the effector for transcription antitermination of genes in the T-box leader family. T-boxes are found upstream of many aminoacyl-tRNA synthetase genes and some amino acid biosynthetic genes usually in Gram-positive bacteria. Lineage: Bacteria; Bacillati; Bacillota; Bacilli; Caryophanales; Staphylococcaceae. The record is from RNAcentral.